UAGGGAAUAUUGCACAAUGGGCGAAAGCCUGAUGCAGCAACGCCGCGUGCGCGAUGAAGGCCUUCGGGUCGUAAAGCGCUUUUCGGGGAGAUGAGGAAGGACAGUAUCCCCGGAAUAAGGCUCGGCUAACUACGUGCCAGCAGCCGCGGUAAAACGUAGGAGCCAAGCGUUAUCCGAAUUCACUGGGCGUAAAGCGCGUGCAGGCGGCAUGAUAAGUUGGAUGUGAAAUCUCCUGGCUCAACUGGGAGGGGACGUUCAAUACUGUCAAGCUAGAGGACGGCAGAGGGAGGUGGAAUUCCCGGUGUAGUGGUGAAAUGCGUAGAUAUCGGGAGGAACACCAGUGGCGAAAGCGGCCUUCUGGGCCGAUCCUGACGCUCAGACGCGAAAGCUAGGGGAGCGAACGG
RNAcentral lists this ribosomal RNA (404 nucleotides) under uncultured bacterium. RNAcentral's name for it is "bacterial SSU rRNA". It matches the Rfam family "Bacterial small subunit ribosomal RNA", at positions 355 to 775 of the family's 1533-position model. The record is from RNAcentral.